GUAGGGAAUAUUGGUCAAUGGACGAAAGUCUGAACCAGCCAUUCCGCGUGCAGGAAGAAGAUUCUAUGGAUUGUAAACUGCUUUUAGCAGAGAAGAAACGCCUUCAUUGAUGAGGGUUUGACGGUAUCUGCGGAAUAAGCACCGGCUAACUCCGUGCCAGCAGCCGCGGUAAUACGGGGGGUGCAAGCGUUAUCCGGAAUCACUGGGUUUAAAGGGUGCGUAGGCGGGAAAUUAAGUCAGUGGUGAAAGUCUGUUGCUUAACGAUAGAAUUGCCGUUGAUACUGAUUUUCUUGAAUUGGGUUGAGGUUAGCGGAAUGUGACAUGUAGUGGUGAAAUGCAUAGAUAUGUCAUGGAACACCAAUUGCGAAGGCAGCUAGCUGGGCCUUGAUUGACGCUGAGGCACGAAAGCGUGGGUAGCGAACAGGAUUAGAAACCCCUGUAGUCC
This 445-nucleotide ribosomal RNA is filed under the name uncultured bacterium. Its description in RNAcentral is "partial 16S ribosomal RNA". It matches the Rfam family "Bacterial small subunit ribosomal RNA", at positions 354 to 796 of the family's 1533-position model. The record is from RNAcentral.